UGCCAGCCGCCGCGGUAACACGUAGGGGGCGAGCGUUGUCCGGAAUUAUUGGGCGUAAAGAGCUCGUAGGUGGCUCAGUAAGAUGGAAGUGAAAUCCCCGGGCUUAACCUGGGAACUGCUCUUAAAACUGUGGAGCUAGAGACAAUCAGAGGUGGGUGGAAUUCCAGGUGUAGAGGUGAAAUUCGUAGAUAUCUGGAGGAACACCGGUGGCGAAGGCGGCCCACUGGGAUUGUUCUGACGCUGAGGCGCGAAAGCGUGGGGAGCGAACGGGAUUAGAUA
Molecule: ribosomal RNA, 279 nt
Filed under: uncultured bacterium
Lineage: Bacteria
Description: partial 16S ribosomal RNA
Rfam family: Bacterial small subunit ribosomal RNA
Source: RNAcentral